This 460-nucleotide ribosomal RNA is filed under the name uncultured bacterium. RNAcentral describes it as "partial 16S ribosomal RNA". It matches the Rfam family "Bacterial small subunit ribosomal RNA", at positions 338 to 795 of the family's 1533-position model. The record is from RNAcentral.
CCUACGGGUGGCAGCAGUGAGGAAUAUUGGUCAAUGGGCGGAAGCCUGAACCAGCCAAGCAGCGUGCAGGAUGACGGCCUUACGGGUUGUAAACUGUUUUUAUACGGGAAUAACGCGUCUUAUGUGUAGGGCUUUUCAUGUACCGUAUGAAUAAGGACCGGCUAAUCCCGUUCCAGCAGCCGCGGCAAGAUGGUAGGUGCGGUCGUUACCCGGAUUUAUUUGGUUUUACGGGAACGUAGGCCGCAUGUCAAGCUUGCUGUGAAAUGUCCGGGCUCAACCCGGGCCUUGCAGCGCAUACUGGCGUGCUUGAGUCCGCGGAAGGCAGGCAGAAUUCGACGUGUAGCGGUGAAAUGCGUAGAUAUGACGAAGAACCCCGAUGGCGAAGGCAGCUUGCUGCAGCGGAACUGACGCUGAGGCUCGAAAGCGCGGGUAUCGAACAGGAUUAGAUACCCGGGUAGUC